Molecule: long non-coding RNA, 578 nt
Filed under: Homo sapiens (human)
Lineage: Eukaryota; Metazoa; Chordata; Mammalia; Primates; Hominidae
Description: non-protein coding lnc-SLC35F5-6:4
Source: RNAcentral
CUAACCACUUAUGGUUAUUUGCAUUUCUAUUUUAAUUAAUUAAAAUUAAGUAAAAUGCAAAAUUCAGUUCUUCAGUUGCUCUAGCCACAUUUCAAGUGUUACAGUAGUCACAUAUGGCUAGUAGCUGGGACAAUGCAGAUUAUAGAACAGUUCCAUCAUCAAAGAAACUUCUAUUGAACAGUGCUAUUAUAUAAUGUCCUUGAGGUCAGGAGUUCAAGACCAGCCUGGCCGACAUGGUGAAACCCCGUCUCUAGUAAAAAUACAAAAAAUUAGCUAGGCGUGGUGGUGCAUGCCUGUAACCCCAGCUACUCAGGAGGCUGAGUUGGGAGAAUCACUGGAACCCAGGAGGCAGAAGUUGUAGUGAGCCAAGAUUGUGCCACUGCACUCUAGCCUGGGUGACAGAGCAAGACUCCAUCUCAAAAAAAAAGAAAAAAGAAAAAGAAAAAGUCAGAAACAUCUUGAGGCAGGCAUAGUGCUGUCAUCUGUCCAAUAUUGAAGAUGAUUUAAGAAUAAGAAAGAAGAGAACAAAGAAGAGACAAAGAAGUUGCCUUAGGUGUACCCACCCAGAAAAGGACAAA